RNAcentral lists this ribosomal RNA (1860 nucleotides) under Triticum aestivum (bread wheat). Its description in RNAcentral is "partial small subunit ribosomal RNA". Lineage: Eukaryota; Viridiplantae; Streptophyta; Magnoliopsida; Poales; Poaceae. The record is from RNAcentral.
AUGACGAUGUCACCCUUCAAGCGUCUGACGACGCGGUCCUGCUUACGCUUGACUUUCGCCACCCUCGUCGCCUCCGCUGCCUCCCGCUUGGACUGCUCAAUCAAUGCGGAGCCGGAGUGCCUUGGCGUUUAUCAUCCGGAGCCGCCUGAAUUCCUUCUCCGCCGUCGACAUGAGACUGAUCACUUCACUAUAGAGUUCGUUCAUGGUGGAUUUUUCAUGGGGACCGGAGGAAAUAGAUCAUAUGUUAAUGGCAGAAAAGUUUGCUAUGAUUACUGCGAAGCUAACAUAAUAUGCAUGGCCAUGUUUGAUGAUUUAAUUGAGACACUGGGUUAUGAAAGAAAGGGAAGAAUUAGCACAUACUUAUUGCUGCCGGGUAUGCAAAUCAAUGAAGAUGGUCUUCGGUUGUUAUCAAAGGACAGCGACACAGCGUGCAUCAAGGCAAUGAUUGCACAUCACCCAUGCCCUGUACAGGUUGCACAUCACAUGACCAAAUGUGCCUGGCACAUUACAAGAUCAUAUCAUGUAGAAAAUGAACAGUACACUGCAUCUUGUGCAGACAGUGCCUCCCCGCAGCUGGUCCAGGCUUUCGGACGGCGUCUGACAGCAGCGACGCACGGACGUAUAUCGUGCCGGAAUCCUGCAGCAGCAUCUUGCGCCGCCGCCUACAGCCGCACCACCUGCGGCUCCAUUGUCGCCGUCCGCAGGGGCUCCACCUGCGGCACGGACGUCCUCGUCGGCGGAACACGAUCAAGAGCAAGAUCGACUACCCGGGCGUCGUCACCCACGUCCUCGGUCGCCUCCGAUGGGACUAUCAGCAACAUCGACGUCUGCGGCCGCGGCGAUGCUGCUGCUGUCACCGUGUUUCCGGCCUGCCCCGUCUGCCACAGGCAGUUCCACAGCUCGAAGGCCGUACACGGCCACAUGAGGGUCCACGCGCAGGCGCAGCCCAAGGAGGAGGAGAAGGUGUCUGCUACGGUCAGCACCGUCGACGAGGUGGACGACUCCGUGUCCAUCUCCAUCGCCAGUGUCGUCGCGGAGCCCAAGAUCUCGGAGGACCCGAUGCCCGUGGAGGUGGCGAGCGAUCAUGCCGUCCCCGGCAGCGGAAGCAACAGCAACGCCGGCGUGGAGCCGAGUCAGAUUGCUGCUGAUCAGUCCAUGGCCAUCGUGGUGGCAGCGGCAGCACCGCCUGCCGCCAUAUCGGAGCAAGUCGACAUCGCCCCGACGCCUCCUGCACCGCAGCAAGUCCCUGUCCCACCUCCGGUGGCACCAGCACCAGAGCCAGCCGCCAUCUACCUCCACCCGCCCGCUCCCGCACUGGCAGGGCAGCAUGUAGCCGUCCCCUCACCACCGGCCGCGGCACCGCCGCAUGCCUUCCACGGGCUGCUGCACCUGAACACCAUGCCGUGGUUCCCAACACACCAGGGGUUGGGCGGCCACGUCGCAGGCCACAAGAACCGGCGGAUCGCGGCGGCGGCCGCCGCAGCCAUAGCAGCGGGGCUCGACCCGAUUGACCACGCUGCGGGCGGCCCCAGGCCGGAAAGGCUCCACACCUGCAAGGUCUGCGGUGCCGUGUACACCAGCGGCGUCUCCCUCAGGGGACACAUGAGGAAGCACUACCAGGGCAAGCCGAUCGUGCCGAGGAAGCGGCCGCGCCCCCUCUUCCGCGCGGACCUCGGGCUCGCGGUCCCCAUGCCGCCGCCUGCAAUGGAAGCUCCCGUUGUGGCGCCGCCGGUGGCUGAGGUGGUGGCGCAGCUCCCGCAGGCGCCGGAGGUGCCGGCGGGCAGCCUGAGGAUUUUCGGCGUGACCAUUGUUCAGCAGGCCAAGGAAGAGGAGGAACCCCCCGUCGACGACAAGCAGUGA